This is a non-coding RNA of Chiloscyllium plagiosum (whitespotted bambooshark), 1373 nucleotides long. NCBI's taxonomy places the organism in Eukaryota, Metazoa, Chordata, Chondrichthyes, Orectolobiformes, Hemiscylliidae. The record is from RefSeq and is a predicted model, not a curated record.
CAGGAGGACGCUGGGGAUUCAUCAGGAGGGAAGCCUGAAAUGUAAACCCUGGAAGCCAGCAGAACCAUUGAGGCAAAAAAAGUCAAUACAGAUGAUUGGUUUCUCACCUCUCGGUUGACAGCAUCCUGAGUAGCUGACUGGUUGUAUCCAAGCUCCUGGACUGGUCACAGAGACUGCCUCUAACGCUUGAUGCUGGGAACUCCCUGAACAAAAGCCAUUCCCCCUUGACUUGACUGAAGACUGCCGCCAACAAUGAUAAGCUUCUUCUUUUCAUAUCUGCACUAAGUGGCAAGAUAGCCAAUCCCAGAAACAAGACGGAAAUGAAUGCUUCUCUUGGUACUCGCCUACAUCUGGUCUACAAAAGCAGGCACCAAAAACCGUGGGCCUUUCCAGGACAGCACUUCAUUGGCAACACACGAUCCACGGUCCAUGCCAAACAGGACAGUCAGACACAAUUGUCUGGCACAGGACAGAGAAUUGAUCUCUACAGUUGGGGCACUAAACAACCUAUAGCAAUAAUUGCACUUCACAGUCGAUGCUUAGCUUCACUAUUGAAGUCACUCACACUAUCUGCUUCAUGUUACACUGCCUUUUCCACUCACAUGUGCACUUUUUGCUGCUGAUCAUGUUACAAAAUGAAACAAGCCUGAUUUAUCCAAUUGGUUUACUGAUCUAAUUCCUGAAUAUUUGAGUUCCCAGCAGAUUUAUAACAGUUACCACAGGAAUCCAAUGCCCUACAUUGGUUGCUAUUAGGAAGUGUCCUAACCUCGGCUCCCAGAUCGUUUCUUCUUUUUUUGUUACUUUGUUUUUAAACUCUCAUUUCUCUCUUUCUUGGCUUUUGGACUUCCCUUAUAUAGGGGAGAAAAUAGCUUAGUGAUACUAUCACUAGACUACUAAUUCAGAUACCCAAUGUUAUGGGGAGUGAGGUCCAAAUCCUAUCAUGACAGACAGUGAAACCCUAACUCAAUAAAAAUUGAAUCUGGGAUUAAGAGACUAACGAUGACCAUAAAACCAUUGCCAACUGUUGGGAAAAAUUUAUCUGCUUCAACAAUGUCCCCCAGAGGAGGAAAUCAGCCAUUCCCACCUAAUCUGGCCCACAUGCAGCUUCAAGCCUACAGCAACAUGGCUGACCCUCAACUGCCCUCCAGGCAACCAGAGAUGGGCAACAAAUUCUGACCAGGCCAGUGAUGCCCACAUCCUAUGAAUGAAAAAUAAAUCAGGAUCCUGCUAUUAUGGCCUCCUCUAUCCACACCUUUGACUUAAUCACUUUGUCCCAUUUACAAUCCCUAUGGCCUGAUCUUACAAAAUUGUUUGCUAUUUAAUGUCUCCUGCUCUUCACACUAUCAGAUCUCUCAUUCUGUUCUUUUUCUCAC